GACAGAGGGGGCGAGCGGUGUCCGGAGUCACUGGGCGUAAAGCGCGCGCAGGCGGUCGCCAAAGUGUCGUGUGAAAGCCCCCCGGCUCAACCGGGGGAGGCCAUGGCAAACUCGGCGACUGGAGCGGCGGAGAGGCCCCUCGAAUUGCCGGUGUAGCGGUGAAAUGCGUAGAGAUCGGCAGGAAGACCAAGGGGGAAGCCAGGGGGCUGGCCGCUGGCUGACGCUGAGGCGCGACAGCGUGGGGAGCGAACCGG
RNAcentral lists this ribosomal RNA (254 nucleotides) under uncultured bacterium. RNAcentral's name for it is "partial 16S ribosomal RNA". It matches the Rfam family "Bacterial small subunit ribosomal RNA", at positions 524 to 776 of the family's 1533-position model. The record is from RNAcentral.